UAUAACCAUUAACGGUGGAUCCCUCGGCUCGGAGUUCGAUGAAGAACGUGGCAAAAUGCGAUAAUUGAUGCGACAUGCAAGCCUUGUGAGUCAUCGAAUUUUUGAAUGCAAAUGGCACCGCUGACUCGUCAGUGGUAUGUCUGGUUGAGGGUUGUUUUAUAAAACAUAUCCCACGA
Molecule: ribosomal RNA, 176 nt
Filed under: Henneguya sp. WB-LZH
Lineage: Eukaryota; Metazoa; Cnidaria; Myxozoa; Bivalvulida; Myxobolidae
Description: 5.8S ribosomal RNA
Rfam family: 5.8S ribosomal RNA (bases 4-154)
About the family: 5.8S ribosomal RNA (5.8S rRNA) is a component of the large subunit of the eukaryotic ribosome. It is transcribed by RNA polymerase I as part of the 45S precursor that also contains 18S and 28S rRNA.
Source: RNAcentral